CUUCAGUGAACCCAGGUAGACCGGCUCCGAGGCGUCGCGCCCCUGGCCGUAGGUGGCCAGGAUCGCCUGCGCCUC
This is a non-coding RNA of Stackebrandtia nassauensis DSM 44728, 75 nucleotides long. It matches the Rfam family "ASpks TB sRNA". The record is from Rfam. Lineage: Bacteria; Bacillati; Actinomycetota; Actinomycetes; Glycomycetales; Glycomycetaceae.